CCGACGGGCCGUGACUGGCGCGCUGGGAUGGGACCGACCAUCGGGGAGCGGCCCAUGAACUGUGUGCCGUGCGCCUGGGCCGACCCG
Non-coding RNA from Actinobacteria bacterium OK006, 87 nucleotides. The record is from Rfam. NCBI's taxonomy places the organism in Bacteria, Bacillati, Actinomycetota, Actinomycetes.